This 254-nucleotide ribosomal RNA is filed under the name uncultured bacterium. Its description in RNAcentral is "partial 16S ribosomal RNA". It matches the Rfam family "Bacterial small subunit ribosomal RNA", at positions 524 to 776 of the family's 1533-position model. The record is from RNAcentral.
GACGUAGGGCGCGAGCGUUGUCCGGAUUUAUUGGGCGUAAAGAGCUCGUAGGCGGCUUGUCGCGUCGACCGUGAAACCUCACAGCUCAACUGUGAGCCUGCGGUCGAUACGGGCAGGCUAGAGUUCGGUAGGGGAGACUGGAGUUCCUGGUGUAGCGGUGAAAUGCGCAGAUAUCAGGAGGAACACCGGUGGCGAAGGCGGGUCUCUGGGGCCGAUACUGACGCUGAGGAGCGAAAGCGUGGGGAGCGAACAGG